This is a small nucleolar RNA of Leishmania infantum JPCM5, 73 nucleotides long. It matches the Rfam family "Trypanosomatid snoRNA TB10Cs3H2". NCBI's taxonomy places the organism in Eukaryota, Euglenozoa, Kinetoplastea, Trypanosomatida, Trypanosomatidae. The record is from Rfam.
UGCCGCCUGCACCUUCCGGGCAGGAUGCCGCCCUUGCGCCCUUGGCGACUGUGUCCAAUCGGUGGUGCGAGAU